This 460-nucleotide ribosomal RNA is filed under the name uncultured bacterium. RNAcentral describes it as "partial 16S ribosomal RNA". It matches the Rfam family "Bacterial small subunit ribosomal RNA", at positions 338 to 795 of the family's 1533-position model. The record is from RNAcentral.
CCUACGGGAGGCAGCAGUGAGGAAUAUUGGUCAAUGGACGCAAGUCUGAACCAGCCAAGUAGCGUGCAGGAUGACUGCCCUAUGGGUUGUAAACUUCUUUUAUAUAGGAAUAAAACGAGGCACGUGUGCCUUUUUGCAUGUACUUUAUGAAUAAGGAUCGGCUAACUCCGGGCCAGCAGCCGCGGUAAUACGGAGGAUCCGCGCGUUAUCCGGAUUUAUUGGGUUUAAAGGGGGCGUAGAUGGGUUGUUAAGUCAGUUGUGAAAGUUUGCGGCUCAACCGUAAAAUUGCAAUUGAUACUGGCAGUCUUGAGUACAGAUGGGGUAGGCGGAAUUCGUGGUGUAGCGGUGAAAUGCUUAGAUAUCAUGAAGAACCCCGAUUGCGAAGGCAGCUUACCAAGCUGUGACUGACAUUGAUGCUCGAAAGUGUGGGUAUCAAACAGGAUUAGAUACCCGGGUAGUC